UUGAAGGGAAGGUAGCAUGGUGA
RNAcentral lists this unclassified non-coding RNA (23 nucleotides) under Mus musculus (house mouse). RNAcentral's name for it is "oocyte_clustered_small_RNA4425". The record is from RNAcentral. Lineage: Eukaryota; Metazoa; Chordata; Mammalia; Rodentia; Muridae.